RNAcentral lists this ribosomal RNA (566 nucleotides) under uncultured bacterium. RNAcentral's name for it is "bacterial SSU rRNA". It matches the Rfam family "Bacterial small subunit ribosomal RNA", at positions 771 to 1338 of the family's 1533-position model. The record is from RNAcentral.
AACCGGAUUAGAUACCCUGGUAGUCCACGCCCUAAACGAUGUCUACUAGUUGUCGGGUUUUAAUUAACUUGGUAACGCAGCUAACGCGUGAAGUAGACCGCCUGGGGAGUACGGUCGCAAGAUUAAAACUCAAAGGAAUUGACGGGGACCCGCACAAGCGGUGGAUGAUGUGGAUUAAUUCGAUGCAACGCGAAAAACCUUACCUACCCUUGACAUGUACGGAAGACCGAAGAGAUUUGGUUGUGCUCGAAAGAGAACCGUAACACAGGUGCUGCAUGGCUGUCGUCAGCUCGUGUCGUGAGAUGUUGGGUUAAGUCCCGCAACGAGCGCAACCCUUGUCAUUAGUUGCUACAUUUAGUUGAGCACUCUAAUGAGACUGCCGGUGACAAACCGGAGGAAGGUGGGGAUGACGUCAAGUCCUCAUGGCCCUUAUGGGUAGGGCUUCACACGUCAUACAAUGGUACAUACAGAGGGCCGCCAACCCGCGAGGGGGAGCUAAUCCCAGAAAGUGUAUCGUAGUCCGGAUCGCAGUCUGCAACUCGACUGCGUGAAGUUGGAAUCGCUAG